CAGAAGCAGCUCCAUUUCCAUUCACUUUCUUCAACAAUUCACGCUCUCUCUCUUCAAUCACCAAACUCUCUUCUCUAAUAGCCCGAACUCGAGUGCGAAGGAGGAGAGUGUUCUUAUACUGUUUAGAAGAAAAAGAAAAUCUCGAGAGGUUAAGGCGGCGUUUAGGAGUCGGUUGUGGAGAGAGGAAAGUGAGUUCUGGUAGAGGCAACAACGAAGCCAUUAAUGGAGAUUUUCACAGUUGAAACGUAGAAACCAAAAGAAGCUGAUCAAAUCUAAACCCUAAUUCUCAUGAUUUAUGAGAGAGAGAAAGAGGGAGAGAAUGAGCGAGGGGUU
Molecule: long non-coding RNA, 333 nt
Filed under: Manihot esculenta (cassava)
Lineage: Eukaryota; Viridiplantae; Streptophyta; Magnoliopsida; Malpighiales; Euphorbiaceae
Description: long non-coding RNA (MESC_LNC007548)
Source: RNAcentral